GGAUAUUUUUCUCAAAGAAAACAAAAGCACUAAUUCAAAAUGAUAUAUACACCCCUAUGUUCAUUGCUGCAUUGUUCACAAAAAACAAGAUAUGGGAGCAACCUAAGUGCUGCUCAGGUGACAAGAUGGAUAGACUUUAUGUACCCCUUAAACUUACACAGUGCUGUGUGUCAACUAUAUCUCAAUAAAAUUGGAAGAAAAGAUAAAAUUCAGUUACAAAAUUUUAAAAAAUCAGCAAGGAAUUAAACAGCAGACACAAAGAACUCUUACAAAUCAAAGAGAACAGGUGGUGAGUUAGUGACCAGAGGAGCACAAAUAAAACACCAUGAGAUGUGGGUCUACAUCCGUCAGGUGUCUGGUGUGGCGAAGUUGGAUACAACCCAGAGAAAGCCAGGAAGCAGGGAAACAGCACCUCGGGAACAGGAACCAGACACCCACACAGGAAUUAAUCAAUCGGUGUCCCCACUGGGUGCCCGUCCCAGGGUCUGGCCGGCUUCCUUCCAGAUGUGUGGCCAGGGAACGUCAUGGCGGAGUCAGUGAAGGCACCGGGAUUGCGCUCUUCACUGUGGCCUCCUUCGUGGAGCAGGAGGUUGGAAGCUGCCUAGGUGCCCAUCCCAGUGGGGAGAGAGCAUGAAAAUGGGGGGCACACUUUGGAACACCACGUGGGAGUUAAAAACUAGAGCACAGACUAGGUGUGUGUUCAGUCUCGUGGAGAGAUGAUGUUAAGUGAAAACAGAUGGAAGGAGGCACAUGGUACAUUUUCUGUAAAUUAAAACAUCUGCAACAUUAUAUAUUACACAAGGCUGUCCAUGUACUGCAUUUCUUUUAUUAUUGGUGAGAACUGUUCAUAAAUUUUGUUAAAAUGUUUCAUUAAUAAGCAGGUUUUUUUCUGUAGUAAACUCUAGAUUUUCCCAAGAGAUUUCUGGCACUGCUUUCUGCUUUCAUUCUUAGAAUUACCUUCCCAUGGAGAAACCAAUUAGUCACCUAUUUUUCCUUCUAUGCUUUUACUUUUUAAAUCAAUUUAACUGUUUAAUCCAUUUAGAAUUUGUUUUUGUGGUGUUGACAUUCAGGAGAAGAUUUAAUUUGAUUUAUUUACAAAUAGCCAGUUUCUCAGCAUUAUUUGUAAAAUAAUCUGUUUUUCCCCAGUCACCUAUUUUUUUUUUCAUUUUUAUUCUUCCAGGUGAAGUUUAGAAUAAUUUUCCCACACCCAAAAUAAUUUUGUAAACUUUGGGAUUCUUUUAGAGGGAUUAUUGUAACAUUAAGCAUAUAAAUUAUUCGGGUAAAUUAAUCUAUUUACAAUGUUUAGUUUUCUGCUCAGGAAAAUGAGAGGAGUCUGUAUUCAGAUCUUUUUUAUAUCUCUCUGUCUAGAUUUUAUUUUUUUAAUGGAAGUCCCAUACAGUUUUGGGGAUUUGGGCUUAUGAUUAUUUCUAAAUUUUAUUGUAAUUACAACAGUGUAAACAAGAACAUUUUCCUCACUUGUUUAUGGACGGUAUAUAAGUAAACAAGUGAAGUUUACACAUACUGAAGAGCAACACUGUCUGUCUCUCCUGCUACUGAACACACUUCUGACACCAGCCGUGUGGCUCUGCCACACCCAGCAAUGGAACACUGACUGGGUGUCCUGCAGCUUGGCCCAGUUCUGACACCACCUGCCUGGAGUUAGCUCAGACCCCACAAUUUAAGGGCUCAGUCGCAUGAGUCUGCCCCCACUUAAGAAACGAGUUGCAAGUCCCAGGUGGUUCCGACCAGCUGGCUAUACAUGGGGUUCCCACAGCCCCCUUUUUGGGCUCACAUUUGCCGGAACGGCUCUCAGAGCUCAGGAAAGCAAGUCAUGUGCCACUGCGGUUGGUCUGUCAUAAAGGAUGCAGCUCAGGAAAAGCCAGAUGGACGAGAGACACGUGUGAGUCACGUGGGAAGGGGCGGGGCCUCCCGUCCCAGGUGCCCCACCCUCCCAGCGCGGCCCUGUGCUCACCGGCCUGGGAGGCCCCAGGUCCCAGCAACAAGGGCUUUUACGUGAGUGUGACCGAGUCCUCAUCGGCCAUGUCAUUGACCUCAAUGUCCAAACCCUCUUCCUUCCGUGGAGGUCACGGGGUGAAGCUGGAAAUUCCAACCCCCCUAGUCACCCCAGUUUUAGGAGCUCUCUGCCAGAAACUGGGAUCAAAGACCAAAUUCAUUCUUUAUUAAAUCACAACCCUGAGUGAAAAUAACCUCUUGGGAGCCUGGAAAAGUGUAGGGGUUACACAUCAAAUGCUAAGUGAGCUCCACGCAAAGGGUGGGGUCACAGAGGCACACGAUGGAACCUGCGUUUAAGGACCUUGAAUCCAGCCAGGACACAGGAGGGACAGAAGGGCCUCAGUGGCUGCCCCUCUCCCCCUGGGAGCGGUGGCCAGUCACUGCCGGGUCCCCCGUCGCCUGCACAGCGGGGUCCCGUGUGUACCACCAUCCGGGGUCCUCGGUCGGCAGCUCACUAUCUUGACAGCCUGAUUUUAGGGUUUUUGUUUCUCAGAAAAGUUGUGCACUAUUUAGGGACGAGAAGGACUGCUUUAUUUCUAUUGUUUAAAGAAUCUUCAAAGGAUCUUGCCAGAUACUCUAUCAGGCUGAGCCGGAGGCGUCCACACAUCACCACAUACCCGGGUGGCAGAAAGGGCUGAAGAGGAGAGAUUCCAUUUUUCUGCUGUUACGAGGAUUUGCAUGGAGAUUCCCACCACCCGUAAACUGGGAUGACAGUCGCCCCGAACUCUCUGAACUCCACCUUGUUAAGAAUACUUGCAAACAUCUGGGAAAACCCGGGAAUCACUGAAGGCGACAGCAGAUGUAUGGGACUCUGACCUGCAGACGUGGUGACCGCAGUGCAGCGUGAGGAGCUGGCCCUCGGCUGACGGGCUGUGGGCACGCAUGUUAUUACAGCGUGUGUGGGAGUGUCAUGCACUUCAGAGGAAGGCAGUCCGAGCAGGCUGAUGAGGAGUGUGCUGGAGAAACGUCUUAAGCUAAGGCUGUGUGGACCAGCGCAGGCACUGUCUGGAAGCUCUAGGGCUCCGUCAUGGGCUGAACUGUGUCCCCUCCACUUUGCAUGUUGAAGUCCUAACCCCCAGGACCUCUGAACGUGACCGUAUUUUGGAGAUGCCUUUAAAGAGAAUGUGAAGAAACAGAGGCAGAAGAUGCACCACGGCCCGUGCGGAGGAGGUGCGGGCUCGGGGGCUGGAGUUGACCCACGUGGCUAGGGGUCCGGGUGUGGUCAUUCCUGAUGCCUGAUGACUGAGUGGAACCAGACGUCUGAGUCAUCACUUGGCAGUGUGCUUGCACACCCGCAGCUAAAAAACACCCUUCUGAGCCCCUGAUCUUGGCUUAGAGACAGUUAAAAAAUUAAGUGCAACUUAAGUUGUGGCAGAGGAAGGUCAGCCCAUUUUCUGAGACGUUCAGACGCUGCCCUGGGUGACGGGAGAUUUGCACAGCUCCAGAGGGCCUUUCCCAUCCAGUGUGCUGGGCGCACCACCAGGAGAUGGGUAACCCUGUGACCCUGCUCUUCCUCCGGCUGAGACCCGAGGCGUUGUUGAAAUCUGCCAGCCCCGUGAAGAGACACGUGGUCCUAGUCUUCAAGGAGUUCACAGCAUCCAAAAGAGAAACAAGCCCACGUUUAAGACGAGACAGAACGAGAUAAUAAAAUACACGUGUGGAGCUCUUUGCCAUUUAGGGAGCACUUUCAAUCCACGUGUAUAUUUGAUCUUCAUAGCAACUCUAGGCCACCAGCAAAGCAGGAAGCGUUGUCUUCACUUUACACAUGAGGAAUCCAGGACGAGAAGGUUGGUAAUUUGUCCGAGAUGGCUGAGGUAGUAAGGGGCAGAGCUGGGGAAACAAUGCAGGUGUUUGAUUACAGAGAGGCAAACAAGAGAGGAAGAUGGAGAUAAAGUGAAAAGCCCAGGAAAGAGACUGAGGGACUGCGCACGGGAGGGGAGCGGGGGAAGGGCACACACUAAGCUAAAGGACCCUCAGGGACAGAGGUGGGGGGGGCCAGAAAGUGGUCACAGACGGACGGAGACGGAGUGCCAACUGUCGGAAGGGCUGGAGCGCGUUUAAUUCACGCUUAGUUCCAGGCCGUCGUCUGGGACCCGUUUGUUCUUACCUCCGGGCCGUUACUUGUGCUCUGGGCGUAACGUGAUCUUGAAGGUUGGAACACUGUCUAAACCUCUCUUUCUGGAGCCUGACCUGACUCCUGGCACUUCAAAGCUCGCUGGGAAUGUUUAUUGUGGAAACCACUGAAACUCUUCGGUCGGAGAAUGACUGGGCGGCCAGUCGGAGGCUGGGCUGGGGAAGAGGGACCAGGGCCUGAACCAGGGGCGGGGCCGUAGGAGAGGGGACGCCUGUCACCCUUGACGUGAACUGGGCUGUGCUCUGUUUGCUCACGGAGGCAUCGUGCUUUUUGCCCAGAAAGCUUUCAUCAAUUGAUGAAAACGCGAUGAAGCCAAACUGUUUUGCAGACCCUGAGCCAGAGCUGUCUCUUCUUCCAGCCGCCUGGCAAAGGAAAGGAAGGGAGGCAGGAAGGAAAGAGGCAGAAAUUCUUAAGGCCGUGACCUCCCUUAAGGGUCCUUGCCCUGGUGACUGUAAACACGGUUGAGCCCAGCUGAAGGGGAAGUUUUGUGUCCCAAGUCCCUUUCCCCGUCCUCCUGCUUGGGGCACUGAAUUCUGGGCUAUUUCCACUCCGCCCUUCAGAGAACCAGAAACUUAAAUACCCUCCCCCCAGCGAGGCCCAGCGGCCCAGCGGCCCCCCGGCUGGACGCGGCCCUCCCUGCCGGACACACCCAAGCGCGUGCCCCCACUCCAUCCUCCCAGCGUCUGUUCAACGGCCGGUUCCUUUCCACUCCUGCCCACUCCCAGGUCUGCUCUCUGAGGGCAGGACCAGGUCUGCCUUGUCAACCACGGGAGGAGCUUGGCACAAAGGUUUUAUCAAUGCCUGCAGACUCCCGUCUCCCCUAGGCCAGCCUUUAUUUACAGUCUGCCUUCUACCUCUUUUGACAGAAGGGAAGUCGCUUUCCAACCCAUAAGCAUAUUUCUGGUAACCAGGCCACAGAAUUUCCUGCCACAAAAUGUGGUGGAAGGUCUACUCUCAGUGAGGCGGGUGCAGGGACAGAGGUCUGGGCUGCCGCCGUCACUCUAGCUGGCGGUGCAGGGGGCCUGCCCUGGACAGACGAUUCGGGGGUCGGAAGCGGUGAUGCGGUCCUCUCGCCCGUCCCACACACCACACACAGGAAAUAGCCCUUUUCUGGAGAAGCAGAAAGGGGUUGCUUUAGCUGAUACUGAGCUGAGGCCGAAUCUUGGAACCUUUUUAUUUUCCCCUUUACUAAUAUUUUUAUUUACUUUUUUCUAUGUUUUUAUUGUGAUAAAAUACCUGUGACAUAAAGUUUACCUUUGUAACUGCUCGUAAGUGUACAGUUCAGUGUCACCGAGUCUGUUCACACCGUCUAUCCACAGAACUUUCCAUCUUCCCCAGAGGGAACUCCAUCCUGGUUAAACACUAAC
This is a non-coding RNA of Vicugna pacos (alpaca), 5514 nucleotides long. NCBI's taxonomy places the organism in Eukaryota, Metazoa, Chordata, Mammalia, Artiodactyla, Camelidae. The record is from RefSeq and is a predicted model, not a curated record.